AAAUGUUAAAAUAGGUCAAUAAGUGGGGCUUGGCGUGUUUCCAUGAGAUGCAGAAACAUACCUUUCUCACUGUCUUCCUCCAGGAACCUUCAACAUCCACUUUAAUGGUGAAGUUCUGCAAUAAUAUGAACAAAACAGAUUAGAAGAUAUGCCUAGCUCUAUAGAGCACAUAAACAGAUUCGAUGUAUUCUAAUUACAACUUUGAAUGGCAUGGACGAUAUGACCAUAUCUUUUUGAAACCAUGAAUGCAAAAAUGGGGAAGACGAUAUAUUUUGUAUUUAUAGAUUUUGGACGAUAUCUUUUUUUACAAUUCUUUGAUUUAGUUUCUAUUCUGGAAGCUGAUAGAGCUUCUUUUUCUGCGAUAGAUUUAAGAUCUUGUGUGAUUGUAACCACGAUUUACUUAGAUUCUUUCCUUAAAACAAAAAUGGAAAUGAUCUUGGAGAAACAAUUAUUCCAAAUACGUAUAAAAAGAUAGCUAGCUACCUAGGAUUGUUAUCGUUAUAAUAAUAACUAGUUAAGAAAUAUAACUUGUUUCUUUGAUCUCCUCACCCACCGCUCUGUUCUGUUUCGUGUUGUUUGAUUUGAUGUCCAUGGAGCCAUGCGCAGACAUGGUAAUUAAACCCAUCCCAUCUGGUUAAUUAAUUACUGUAUGUAGUUUAGCAAUCACCAUAGGAAUUAAAUUAGACGAACGAUGGUUUUUGAUGAAUUUGGUUUUUUUGUUUUGAAGGAGUGUUGCCUGAAAGUCCACUCCAAGUGUGAGUCGUGUAUGAUGAAGACGAUUGAGGUGUUACGUUCUAUCAGUGGUAAGGUUUUUAUGUUAGCAGCCAAAAAAUAGUAAUAGUAGGAGUCUAUUUAUUAUAUCAAAUUAAUUAGGUUUUGACUUUUGAUUAUGAUUUAACAACGGAGAUGGUAAUGGUAGGAGUCUAUUCGGUGACCUGGGAUGCUGAAAAAAAUAUUUUCAAAAUAUCUGGAGAGGUUGAUCCAAACAUACUUCUCAAGGCAGUGAUGCGGACAGGUGAACAUGCGGAGCUCGUCAAUGUAAAACUCAAUCACCCACAGCUAAGACACACAAACUAUAACUAUAAUUAUAAUAAUCAUAAUUUUGGUUAUGGUUAUCAUAUUCCUUCAUCCUCCUCCUACAGGAGGAGGGAUAUAAGGCCACUGCCUGAGCAUGAAUUCUACCCAGUUACUAGUAGUGCUUACAGGAGGCCACCUGGGAUUCAGUAUCUGCCUUCUAAUUACGACACCACCAGCUAUGGCUAUGGCUAUGAAAACCCCCUGCCACCGGCAACCUAUGUGCCAUCAUAUCCAUAUCAAGAGCAUGAUCCAUAUGCUAAUUAUGAGGGGGUCAGCUUUUGCACCAUCAUGUGACCCUGCCAUUGGAGAUUUGGACUCAACUUUUCAACAUCAAUGUAUCUCUUGUUUCUUUAAUAUUUGUUUUUAGGUUUCUCAGAAACGUUUGAUGAUAUUUUAGCCUAAGUACGUAAAAUAUUUAGGUCAUGUGAGUAUGUGACGUCCUUUGCAGUUUGCAUCCACCGUGAUUUGUUUUUUUUUUUUUCUCUAAAUGGGGAAGACAUAGUAUUUGCGAAAUUUCUUGCGGAAGGCUAGCUAAUUUACAAUGUGUAAGUAAAACAAGGAAUCUAGAAACACAACCAACCAAACUAGUAACAUACCAAACAAUUUGAUUUCACUCUAUUCCAUUUGUCACUGAUAUAAGUUUGACACUACAUCUUGCCCGUGUAGUGUCUCGAGGUCCCUCUUUAAACCAUGAUACCAGCCCUCCUAGAUAUGUAACUUGUUUCGCCCAACAAUCAGCUAAUCAAGAAGGUGAUCCUAACCCCCGACCAGCUGUGUCUAACCCGCUACAGUCCCUUCAUAGUCAAGCUCUUUCAACAACUCGAUCAGACGACAAUGACUAGAUUAACAACACCCUUGGUCCAUGUAGCCCCUUUUAAACCAGAUGAGCAUGAUUUUCAUCUUCUUAGUCGACAUGGUCACGACAUAAUGACAGGUUGCCUUCACACCGCCAUUUUAAGGAAAGUCGGUGAAUGUGAACAAUUUUUGGAUAAUGGUUGCGAAA
RNAcentral lists this long non-coding RNA (2080 nucleotides) under Lactuca sativa (garden lettuce). RNAcentral's name for it is "long non-coding RNA (LSAT_LNC009163)". The record is from RNAcentral. Lineage: Eukaryota; Viridiplantae; Streptophyta; Magnoliopsida; Asterales; Asteraceae.